This 1238-nucleotide ribosomal RNA is filed under the name metagenome. RNAcentral describes it as "bacterial LSU rRNA". It matches the Rfam family "Bacterial large subunit ribosomal RNA", at positions 1633 to 2864 of the family's 2925-position model. The record is from RNAcentral.
CCGAUACGACCGUACCGCAAACCGACACUGGUGCGCGAGAUGAGUAUUCUAAGGCGCUUGAGAGAACUCAGGAGAAGGAACUCGGCAAAUUGACACCGUAACUUCGGAAGAAGGUGUGCCCUAUUAGUGUGUAGUGAACAACGAAGCAUGAAUGGUUGCAAAAAAUCGGUGGCUGCGACUGUUUAUUAAAAACACAGCACUCUGCAAACACGAAAGUGGACGUAUAGGGUGUGACGCCUGCCCGGUGCUGGAAGAUUAAAUGAUGGGGUGCAAGCUCUUGAUUGAAGUCCCAGUAAACGGCGGCCGUAACAAUAACGGUCCUAAGGUAGCGAAAUUCCUUGUCGGGUAAGUUCCGACCUGCACGAAUGGCGUAACGAUGGCCACACUGUCUCCUCCUGAGACUCAGCGAAGUUGAAAUGUUUGUGAUGAUGCAAUCUCCCCGCGGAAAGACGGAAAGACCCCAUGAACCUUUACUGUAGCUUUGUAUUGGACUUUGAACAGAUCUGUGUAGGAUAGGUGGGAGGCUUUGAAGCAGGGUCGCUAGAUCUUGUGGAGCCAACGUUGAAAUACCACCCUGGUGUGUUUGAGGUUCUAACCUAGGUCCAUUAUCUGGAUCGGGGACAGUGCAUGGUAGGCAGUUUGACUGGGGCGGUCUCCUCCCAAAGCGUAACGGAGGAGUUCGAAGGUACGCUAGUUACGGUCGGACAUCGUGACGAUAGUGCAAUGGCAUAAGCGUGCUUAACUGCGAGACUGACAAGUCGAGCAGAUGCGAAAGCAGGACAUAGUGAUCCGGUGGUUCUGUAUGGAAGGGCCAUCGCUCAACGGAUAAAAGGUACUCUGGGGAUAACAGGCUGAUACCGCCCAAGAGUUCAUAUCGACGGCGGUGUUUGGCACCUCGAUGUCGGCUCAUCUCAUCCUGGGGCUGUAGCCGGUCCCAAGGGUAUGGCUGUUCGCCAUUUAAAGAGGUACGUGAGCUGGGUUUAAAACGUCGUGAGACAGUUUGGUCCCUAUCUUCCGUGGGCGCUGCAGAUUUGAGGAAGCCUGCUCCUAGUACGAGAGGACCGGAGUGGACACACCUCUGGUGUAUCGGUUGUCACGCCAGUGGCAUUGCCGAGUAGCUAAGUGUGGAAGAGAUAACCGCUGAAAGCAUCUAAGCGGGAAACUCGUUUCAAGAUGAGAUCUGCCGGGGCCUUGAGCCCCCUAAAGAGUCGUUCAAGACCAGGACGUUGAUAGGUCAG